CGCGAGGAUGGGCCAAGGGCGAAACUGGUAACUGGGGCUAAGUCGUAACAAGGUAGCCGUACCGGAAGGUGUGGCUGGAACACCUCCUUU
RNAcentral lists this ribosomal RNA (90 nucleotides) under Candidatus Egerieousia equi. RNAcentral describes it as "partial 16S ribosomal RNA". It matches the Rfam family "Bacterial small subunit ribosomal RNA", at positions 1440 to 1533 of the family's 1533-position model. The record is from RNAcentral. Lineage: Bacteria; Pseudomonadati; Bacteroidota; Bacteroidia; Bacteroidales.